RNAcentral lists this ribosomal RNA (375 nucleotides) under uncultured Glomeromycotina. RNAcentral's name for it is "LSU rRNA". Lineage: Eukaryota; Fungi; Glomeromycota. The record is from RNAcentral.
UUGAAAGGGAAACGAUUGAAGUCAGUCGUACCAGCGGGNAAUCAACCUUUCGAGUGGGGGUUUUGGAGUUUUGAAGAGUGUCAAAACCUUUGAGAUUUCAAAAUAUUCGCUCUUUUGGUGUACUUUCUCGUGGGUAGGUUAACAUCGAUUUUGAUCAUCAUAAAAAGAUUGGAGGAAUGUAGCUUCGAUCUUGUAUUGAAGUGUUAUAGCCUUUGGUAAAUGUGAUGAUUAGGAUCGAGGAUUGCAACGAAUACCCUUUUGGGCUAUCCGCCUGAUCUCUGAUACGUGGCCUUGGUAUCGAAAGCUUGCUUAUGGUAUUGAGGUAUUACGGUCAAAAGGCUAGAACGGAUUACAUUCGUUAAGGAUGUUGACGUA